GACGAACGCUGGCGGCGUGCCUAAUACAUGCAAGUCGAACGCAGUGGGGAUGGGUGAGUAACCCGUGGGUAACCUCCCCUCAGACGGGAUAACACUUGGAAACAGGUGCUAAACCGAUAUUGAUUGAUGGACUCGCGGUGCAUUAGCUAGUUGGUGAGGUAACGGCGCACCAAGGCCACGAUGCAUAGACGACCUGAGAGGGUGAGAGGCCACACGGGGACUGAGACACGGCCCAGAAGCCUACGGGAGGCAGCAGUAGGGAAUCUUCGGCAAUGGACGAAAGUCUGACCGAGCAACGCCGCGUGAGUGAAGAAGGUUUUCGGAUCGUAAAACUCUGUUGGUAGAGAAGCGGUAUCUAACCAGAAAGCCACGGCUAACUACGUGCCAGCAGCCGCGGUAAUAC
RNAcentral lists this ribosomal RNA (403 nucleotides) under uncultured bacterium. Its description in RNAcentral is "partial 16S ribosomal RNA". It matches the Rfam family "Bacterial small subunit ribosomal RNA", at positions 28 to 526 of the family's 1533-position model. The record is from RNAcentral.